UCAUUUAAACCUUCAAGCUCAGCUUGGUGUUGGGUGACUGUCCGCUGCCCUCGGGUGCGGACUCGCCUCAAAAUCAUUGGCGGCCGGUACAUUGGCUUCGAGCGCAGCAGAAACGCGAACUCGAGCCCGUUGUAUUGGCUCCCAGAAGCUAUCUUCAUAAUUUUGACCUCGGAUCAGGUAGGGAUACCCGCUGAACUUAA
RNAcentral lists this unclassified non-coding RNA (200 nucleotides) under soil metagenome. RNAcentral's name for it is "partial contains internal transcribed spacer 2 and large subunit ribosomal RNA". The record is from RNAcentral.